GACGGAGGGUGCGAGCGUUGUCCGGAUUUAUUGGGCGUAAAGAGCUCGUAGGCGGCUCGUCGCGUCGACCGUGAAAACCCGCGGCUUAACUGCGGGCUUGCGGUUGAUACGGGCGGGCUAGAGUUCGGUAGGGGAGACUGGAAUUCCUGGUGUAGCGGUGAAAUGCGCAGAUAUCAGGAGGAACACCGGUGGCGAAGGCGGGACUCUGGGCCGAUACUGACGCUGAGGAGCGAAAGCGUGGGGAGCGAACAGG
Molecule: ribosomal RNA, 253 nt
Filed under: uncultured bacterium
Lineage: Bacteria
Description: partial 16S ribosomal RNA
Rfam family: Bacterial small subunit ribosomal RNA
Source: RNAcentral